This 711-nucleotide long non-coding RNA is filed under the name Homo sapiens (human). RNAcentral's name for it is "non-protein coding FAM239A:27". Lineage: Eukaryota; Metazoa; Chordata; Mammalia; Primates; Hominidae. The record is from RNAcentral.
CCAGAUUCUGAUGAUGAUUCAGAAGUCAGUGUGGAAGAAGAUCAGAGGGAGAGGCAGGCGCUCUUUGACUUAUCAAGCUGCUCCCUGAGGCCCAAAAGCUUCAAGUGUCAGACUUGUAAAAAGUCAUAUAUAGGGAAGUGGGGACUGGCCCAGCAUUUUAAACUUAAUCCAGGCCAUGGCCAGCUGGACCCUGAGAUGGUGCUAUCUGAGAAAGCCAAUGGGAGCACCCUCCGGGGGUGCACAGAGGAAAGGACGCUCAGCCUGACCUUCCCGGGGCUGUCCGUGCCAGCGGCUCCGCGUGAGGGAGGGGCCCGCUCCUGCUUGGUGAGAGAGUCAGCACGCGGUGGCCUGCAGGGUUAUAGAGUGGAAAGUCCCACAAUCUUUUUCUUCUCUAUUUUCAGAAAAACGUUGACCUCUUGGCGAGAAUGCAAAGAAGGGAACGCUUGCUUAUACGCUGUUGGUGAACUGUCACCCCUACAACUCAGCUUGCAACCAGCCCUGGCCACCAGUUUCCCCACACUGAGCUGAAUAUCGGACAUGCCCAUCUCAGACAUUCCAGCCCAUUCUGAAAUUCCACAUCGAUUCACCUGACAAAGUCUGAAGUUCCAGGGCAAUUUAUCUGGAAAAGCUUACCUGGAAUCACGUGUCAUUUCAACCAACAACUGUUGAAGAGGACGUGGCAUUAAAACCAAGGGUAUCAAUUAUUUAUAA